GAUCCUGGGCUCAGGAUGAACGCUGGCGGCGUGCUUAACACAUGCAAGUCGAACGAAGCACUUUAAUUGAUUUCUUCGGAAUGAAGUUUUUGUGACUGAGUGGCGGACGGGUGAGUAACGCGUGGGUAACCUGCCUCAUACAGGGGGAUAACAGUUGGAAACGACUGCUAAUACCGCAUAAGCGCACAGGAUUGCAUGAUCCAGUGUGAAAAACUCCGGUGGUAUGAGAUGGACCCGCGU
This 240-nucleotide ribosomal RNA is filed under the name uncultured bacterium. RNAcentral's name for it is "partial 16S ribosomal RNA". It matches the Rfam family "Bacterial small subunit ribosomal RNA", at positions 15 to 236 of the family's 1533-position model. The record is from RNAcentral.